This 292-nucleotide ribosomal RNA is filed under the name uncultured bacterium. RNAcentral describes it as "partial 16S ribosomal RNA". It matches the Rfam family "Bacterial small subunit ribosomal RNA", at positions 505 to 796 of the family's 1533-position model. The record is from RNAcentral.
GUGCCAGCCGCCGCGGUAAGACGAAGGAUGCAAGCGUUAUCCGGAUUCAUUGGGUUUAAAGGGUGCGUAGGCGGACUUGUAAGUCAGUGGUGAAAUCUCUUUGCUUAACAAAGAAACUGCCAUUGAUACUGCUAGUCUAGAGUAUAGAUGACGUUGGCGGAAUAUGACAUGUAGUGGUGAAAUACUUAGAUAUGUCAUAGAACACCGAUUGCGAAGGCAGCUAACGAAACUAUAACUGACGCUGAGGCACGAAAGUGCGGGGAUCAAACAGGAUUAGAUACCCUUGUAGUCC